Panicum hallii is the source of this 1036-nucleotide long non-coding RNA. RefSeq lists it as uncharacterized. The record is from RefSeq and is a predicted model, not a curated record. The transcript is spliced from 2 exons. NCBI's taxonomy places the organism in Eukaryota, Viridiplantae, Streptophyta, Magnoliopsida, Poales, Poaceae.
CCCCCCCCCCCCCCCCGCCGGGUCCCCCGUCCCCCGUCCCCCGUCGCACGCCGGGUCACGCACGGCCUCGCCGUCGCGUCCUCCUCCGCCGCCAUCGCCGUCGUGUCCUCCUCCUCCGAACCGCCGGCCUCCCGACGCCGUCCGCGCCGUCCGCGCCGUCCCGUCCUCCUACUCCGAGCCGGCCCGCCUCACCGUCGCGUCCUCCUCCUCCGAGCCGCCGGCCUCCCGACGCCGCCCUCGCUGUCCCGUCCUCCUCCUCCGAGCCGGGGCCUCCCGACGCUCACUCGCUUGGCGGUUGUUCCAGGGCGUCGAGUACGGCGGGCCAAGCAACCAGGAACGCAUCUGGCCAGACGCCCUGCUGCGCAUCGCCUCCUAAUCUCAGAUUCCAGGAAAUUUUGAAGUCUGGUUCUUAGUGCAGAAUUUUGGAAAGCAGAACAAAUAAACCAUCCAAGGUAGUAGGAGCUUGCGCCAAACAGUAAUAUCAGUAGGUGAGCUCAAACAUAUGUUGUCAGCAGAUUUUGGCUAUUCAAAUUUUUUUGUAUAUACAGAAGACAACAAACCAGAAGGAGAAAAGCUAGACCUCCUAGAGUUUCAGUGCUUUCUCAACGCCUCAAUGCCUACAGGUACGCCUUGUGCUCUUGGUUCAGUUUUGGUGGAAAACUGGUAACAGUGCUAUCUGAAAGCCGCUCUACAUUCUUUCUGGUGGCAGAUUAUAGUCUUAGAUGCUCUGCAAUUGAAGUCUUUUAGUUGCCUCCAUUGGUUAUUAGUGUAGUGUAUCUUGAUGUGUAUGCAUGCAUCCAUAUCUUAGGAACUGUGCAACUGCUAACAUUGUUUGUUUGGUGCUCGAAUUGAUGGGCUCAUAUGAUUGUGGUGAGUUAUUGUUGAUAGGGGAAGGACGUUUGGCUCCCAAUCGAGUUAAUUUGUUGUAUCCGAAUAACUUGGCAAUGUACCAUCCAAAAUCUGAACUCUGAAUACAAUAUGAUACAUGUUGCUGUUUGGGGAAAUAAAAGUUCAGAGUCUGUAAGCUUUGUUCUCA